This 253-nucleotide ribosomal RNA is filed under the name uncultured bacterium. RNAcentral's name for it is "partial 16S ribosomal RNA". It matches the Rfam family "Bacterial small subunit ribosomal RNA", at positions 524 to 776 of the family's 1533-position model. The record is from RNAcentral.
UACGGGGGGGGCAAGCGUUGUUCGGAAUUACUGGGCGUAAAGUGUGCGCAGGCGGCCGCGCAAGUCGAGUGUGAAAUCCCCGAGCUUAACUUGGGAAUUGCGCUCGAAACUACGUGGCUGGAGUGUGGCAGAGGAAGGUGGAAUUCCACGUGUAGCGGUGAAAUGCGUAGAUAUGUGGAGGAACACCGAUGGCGAAGGCAGCCUUCUGGGCCAACACUGACGCUCAUGCACGAAAGCGUGGGGAGCAAACAGG